RNAcentral lists this ribosomal RNA (492 nucleotides) under uncultured bacterium. RNAcentral's name for it is "partial 16S ribosomal RNA". It matches the Rfam family "Bacterial small subunit ribosomal RNA", at positions 29 to 507 of the family's 1533-position model. The record is from RNAcentral.
AGUGAACGCUGGCGGUAUGCCUAACACAUGCAAGUCGAACGGCAGCACAGUAAGAGCUUGCUCUUACGGGUGGCGAGUGGCGGACGGGUGAGGAAUACAUCGGAAUCUACUUUUUCGUGGGGGAUAACGUAGGGAAACUUACGCUAAUACCGCAUACGACCUACGGGUGAAAGCAGGGGAUCUUCGGACCUUGCGCGAUUGAAUGAGCCGAUGUCGGAUUAGCUAGUUGGCGGGGUAAAGGCCCACCAAGGCGACGAUCCGUAGCUGGUCUGAGAGAAUGAUCAGCCACACUGGAACUGAGACACGGUCCAGACUCCGACGGGAGGCAGCAGUGGGGAAUAUUGGACAAUGGGAGCAAGCAUGAUCCAGCCAUACCGCGUGGGUGAAGAAGGCCUUCGGGUUGUAAAGCCCUUUUGUUGGGAAAGAAAAGCAGCAGGUUAAUACCCCGAUGUUCUGACGGUACCCAAAGAAUAAGCACCGGCUAACUUCGUG